This 732-nucleotide ribosomal RNA is filed under the name Candidatus Phytoplasma solani. Its description in RNAcentral is "bacterial SSU rRNA". It matches the Rfam family "Bacterial small subunit ribosomal RNA", at positions 796 to 1532 of the family's 1533-position model. The record is from RNAcentral. Lineage: Bacteria; Bacillati; Mycoplasmatota; Mollicutes; Acholeplasmatales; Acholeplasmataceae.
CACGCCCUAAACGAUGAGUACUAAACGUUGGAUAAAACCAGUGUUGAAGUUAACACAUUAAGUACUCCGCCUGAGUAGUACGUACGCAAGUAUGAAACUUAAAGGAAUUGACGGGACUCCGCACAAGCGGUGGAUCAUGUUGUUUAAUUCGAAGGUACCCGAAAAACCUCACCAGGUCUUGACAUGCUUUUGCAAAGCUGUAGAAAUACAGUGGAGGUUAUCAGAAGCACAGGUGGUGCAUGGUUGUCGUCAGCUCGUGUCGUGAGAUGUUGGGUUAAGUCCCGCAACGAGCGCAACCCUUGUUGUUAAUUGCCAUCAUUAAGUUGGGGACUUUAGCAAGACUGCCAAUGAUAAAUUGGAGGAAGGUGGGGACGACGUCAAAUCAUCAUGCCCCUUAUGACCUGGGCUACAAACGUGAUACAAUGGCUGUUACAAAGGGUAGCUAAAGCGUAAGCUUCUGGCGAAUCUCAAAAAAGCAGUCUCAGUUCGGAUUGAAGUCUGCAACUCGACUUCAUGAAGUUGGAAUCGCUAGUAAUCGCGAAUCAGCAUGUCGCGGUGAAUACGUUCUCGGGGUUUGUACACACCGCCCGUCAAACCACGAAAGUUGGCAAUACCCAAAGCCGGUGGCCUAACUUGAGCAAUCAAGAAGGAGCCGUCUAAGGUAGGGUUGAUGAUUGGGGUUAAGUCGUAACAAGGUAUCCCUACCGGAAGGUGGGGAUGGAUCACCUCCUU